Molecule: long non-coding RNA, 860 nt
Organism: Cebus imitator (Panamanian white-faced capuchin)
Lineage: Eukaryota; Metazoa; Chordata; Mammalia; Primates; Cebidae
Exons: 3
Source: RefSeq, a predicted model, not a curated record
GUUUCAGCCGAGAAUUGAAACCGAUAGCGAAAAGGGGAGGGCAGAGGGACGGAGAUGAAAUGAAACGAAGCAAGAGCAUAGGGAGAGGAAGAAGCUGAAGAAAAAAACACCCCGCAAAAGAAGCAAGGGGGAAUAGUGAGAAAUCCGAGGCCCAGAGACAUCAAGAAACCUGCUCAAGGUCACACAGCUGGGAUGUGGUCAAGCCCCACUGAGCCCCUCUGAAGCCAGGUGGGGGCCUCCGGCACUCCGUGGGGAACCCCUGAUCACAGUGACUGCCAGCAGUUCCUUGCCUGGGCUCUGUGGGCAAUCAGCUCCCAGGGUCCAGGAAGAGGCACGUCAAGCAGCUGCCCUCAGCCCCCAGCUGACCCCGGAGGGACCAGGCCAGAGCUGGAUGGCACCGUGAGCAUCCCAGAUCCCACAGCCUGCAGUGGCCCCACCACCCACCGCCCACGGGCACUGAGCUUUGCCGAGGCCAACCUAGCCUCUGAUCUGCGCCUUACCAGGCGCCUCACACCAGCAGGCCCUCGCCUCUUGCCCAGUCCCCCGAGAAGUCUGGGGAGGCCUUGCUGCCUCUAUCGUCCCAGAAGAGAAGGAGCUUGCCAGGAUCCCAGGGAGCAGCCUGGGUCUCCUGCCUUCCUGGGUGGUAGCACAUGGCUGCCCAGGUGCCCUGGUGCCAGAGAGCCAUUCCAGCAAGGACUGGCUCUCGGGCACCAGGGCUGGCCCUGGGGUGGGCGAGCGCUUUCCCUUUGCCGUCUGCACCUCGUCCCCUGUCCACCACAGGAGGGGCUGCACCUGAGGGGGGCACCCGUCCCCCUCGGGGCUUCCCAGGGCAUGGGGGCCUGAGGUGCAGGUUACCUAGC